Molecule: ribosomal RNA, 406 nt
Filed under: Acidaminobacter sp.
Lineage: Bacteria; Bacillati; Bacillota; Clostridia; Peptostreptococcales; Acidaminobacteraceae
Description: bacterial SSU rRNA
Rfam family: Bacterial small subunit ribosomal RNA
Source: RNAcentral
AUGAUUAAGAGUUUGAUCCUGGCUCAGGAUGAACGCUGGCGGCGUGCCUAACACAUGCAAGUCGAGCGCGAUUAGUUGGACUGGAGACUUCGGUCAAAGGGAAGACUAUGAAAGCGGCGGACGGGUGAGUAACGCGUGAGCAACCUGCCCUGUACAGGGGGAUAGCCACUGGAAACGGUGAUUAAUACCCCAUAAACCCAAAGGAUCGCAUGAUCCAAUGGGCAAAGUUCCAACGGUACAGGAUGGGCUCGCGUCUGAUUAGCUAGUUGGUGAGGUAAUGGCUCACCAAGGCGACGAUCAGUAGCCGACCUGAGAGGGUGAACGGCCACACUGGAACUGAGACACGGUCCAGACUCCUACGGGAGGCAGCAGUGGGGAAUAUUGCACAAUGGGCGCAAGCCUGAUG